GAAGAAAGCUGGCGGCGUGCUUAACACAUGCAAGUCGAACGGAAAGGCCCUGCUUUUGUGGGGUGCUCGAGUGGCGAACGGGUGAGUAACACGUGAGUAACCUGCCCUUGACUUUGGGAUAACUUCAGGCAACUGGGGCUAAUACCGGAUAGGAGCUCCUGCUGCAUGGUGGGGGUUGGAUAGUUUCGGCGGUUGGGGAUGGACUCGCGGCUUAUCGGCUUGUUGGUGGGGUAGUGGCUUACCAUGGCUUUGACGGGUAGCCGGCCUGAGAGGGUGACCGGCCACAUUGGGACUGAGAUACGGCCCAGACUCCUCCGGGAGGCAGCAGUGGGGAGGAUUGCACAAGGGGCGGAAGCCUGAUGCAGCAACGCCGCGUGCGGGAAGACGUGCUUCGGGUUGUAAACCGCUUUCGCCUGUGACGAGGCGUGAGUGACGGUAAUGGGUAAAGAAGCACCGGCUAACUACGUG
Molecule: ribosomal RNA, 468 nt
Filed under: uncultured bacterium
Lineage: Bacteria
Description: partial 16S ribosomal RNA
Rfam family: Bacterial small subunit ribosomal RNA
Source: RNAcentral